This 312-nucleotide ribosomal RNA is filed under the name Escherichia coli. RNAcentral's name for it is "partial 23S ribosomal RNA". It matches the Rfam family "Bacterial large subunit ribosomal RNA", at positions 2619 to 2925 of the family's 2925-position model. Lineage: Bacteria; Pseudomonadati; Pseudomonadota; Gammaproteobacteria; Enterobacterales; Enterobacteriaceae. The record is from RNAcentral.
UCGUGAGACAGUUCGGUCCCUAUCUGCCGUGGGCGCUGGAGAAUUGAGGGGGGCUGCUCCUAGUACGAGAGGACCGGAGUGGACGCAUCACUGGUGUUCGGGUUGUCAUGCCAAUGGCACUGCCCGGUAGCUAAAUGCGGAAGAGAUAAGUGCUGAAAGCAUCUAAGCACGAAACUUGCCCCGAGAUGAGUUCUCCCUGACUCCUUGAGAGUCCUGAAGGAACGUUGAAGACGACGACGUUGAUAGGCCGGGUGUGUAAGCGCAGCGAUGCGUUGAGCUAACCGGUACUAAUGAACCGUGAGGCUUAACCUU